RNAcentral lists this long non-coding RNA (215 nucleotides) under Bos taurus (domestic cattle). RNAcentral describes it as "long non-coding RNA NONBTAT000928". Lineage: Eukaryota; Metazoa; Chordata; Mammalia; Artiodactyla; Bovidae. The record is from RNAcentral.
CUGUUGUUCAAAUGUGUGACUUAAAGAAAUCAUGAAAAUCACAACAUUGUAAAAAGAAUCUUGAAUAGGAUAAAGUCUUUCCAGGCAAAAACUGAAGCCAGAAGCUACAAAGGAAAAUUUUGACAAACUAAGCUAUGCAAGAGGCAAAAACUUAUAUGUAGAAAAAAGGAAAAAUUGAAACUAAAAAGCUAAAUGCAUUUUCAAAACAUGUGGCA